This 399-nucleotide ribosomal RNA is filed under the name Streptococcus mitis. RNAcentral's name for it is "bacterial SSU rRNA". It matches the Rfam family "Bacterial small subunit ribosomal RNA", at positions 28 to 417 of the family's 1533-position model. The record is from RNAcentral. Lineage: Bacteria; Bacillati; Bacillota; Bacilli; Lactobacillales; Streptococcaceae.
GACGAACGCUGGCGGCGUGCCUAAUACAUGCAAGUAGAACGCUGAAGGAGGAGCUUGCUUCUCUGGAUGAGUUGCGAACGGGUGAGUAACGCGUAGGUAACCUGCCUGGUAGCGGGGGAUAACUAUUGGAAACGAUAGCUAAUACCGCAUAAGAGUAGAUGUUGCAUGACAUUUGCUUAAAAGGUGCAAUUGCAUCACUACCAGAUGGACCUGCGUUGUAUUAGCUAGUUGGUGGGGUAACGGCUCACCAAGGCGACGAUACAUAUGCCAGACCUGAGAGGGUGAUCGGCCACACUGGGACUGAGACACGGCCCAGAGCUCCUACGGGAGGCAGCAGUAGGGAAUCUUCGGCAAUGGACGGAAGUCUGACCGAGCAACGCCGCGUGAGUAAGAAGGUUU